GACGAACGCUGGCGGCGUGCCUAACACAUGCAAGUCGAACGGAAAGGCCCUGCUCUUGUGGGGUUCUUGUUUGGCGAACGGGUGAGUAACACGCGUGUAACCCCCCCUUGUCUUUCGGAUAACUUUAGGAAACAGGGUAUAAUACCGGAUAUAAUCUUCUGCUGCGCGGUGUGGGUUGGAAAGUUUCGGCGGUUGGGGCUCGACGCGCUGGUUAUCAGCUUGUUGGUCAGGUAGGUGAGUACCAAGGCUUUGACGGAUAGCCGGCCUGAGAGGGGGGACGGGCACCUGGGGACUGAGGGACGGACCAGACUGCUACGGGAGGCAGCGGGCGGGAGUAUUGCAGAAUGAGGGGAAGCCUGAUGCAGCGACGCCGCGUGCGGGAUAACGGCCUUCGGGUUGUAAACAUCUUUCGCCUGUGACGAAGCGUGAGUGACGGUAAUGGGUAAAGAAGCACCGGCUAACUACGUG
Molecule: ribosomal RNA, 468 nt
Filed under: uncultured bacterium
Lineage: Bacteria
Description: partial 16S ribosomal RNA
Rfam family: Bacterial small subunit ribosomal RNA
Source: RNAcentral